Molecule: ribosomal RNA, 497 nt
Filed under: uncultured bacterium
Lineage: Bacteria
Description: partial 16S ribosomal RNA
Rfam family: Bacterial small subunit ribosomal RNA
Source: RNAcentral
GAUGAACGCUGGCGGCGUGCCUAAUACAUGCAAGUCGAGCGAACAGACGAGGAGCUUGCUCCUCUGACGUUAGCGGCGGACGGGUGAGUAACACGUGGAUAACCUACCUAUAAGACUGGGAUAACUUCGGGAAACCGGAGCUAAUACCGGAUAAUAUAUUGAACCGCAUGGUUCAAUAGUGAAAUACGGUUUUGCUGUCACUUAUAGAUGGAUCCGCGCCGCAUUAGCUAGUUGGUAAGGUAACGGCUUACCAAGGCGACGAUGCGUAGCCGACCUGAGAGGGUGAUCGGCCACACUGGAACUGAGACACGGUCCAGGGUCCUACGGGAGGCAGCAGUAGGGAAUCUUCCGCAAUGGGCGAAAGCCUGACGGAGCAGCGCCGCGUGAGUGAUGAAGGUCUUCGGAUCGUAAAACUCUGUUAUUAGGGAAGAACAAAUGUGUAAGUAACUAUGCACGUCUUGACGGUACCUAAUCAGAAAGCCACGGCUAACUACGUG